Long non-coding RNA from Canis lupus familiaris (dog), 1288 nucleotides. RefSeq lists it as uncharacterized. The record is from RefSeq and is a predicted model, not a curated record. Lineage: Eukaryota; Metazoa; Chordata; Mammalia; Carnivora; Canidae. The transcript has 3 exons.
CUUAAUGCAUUUAAGCUUCUCAAGGGCGCCAUGAGCACGAAAGCUGCCAACGUUCACUACGUGAAACCUUCGGCCCGUCCUGUCCUUUUGGUCCAGAAGCAAAAAUCAGGGCAGGACAGCUCCUUGGGUGGAGGACGGGUCUCAAGAUGUGGACCUGAGCAGCCACGGAGGCGACGGCAUCAAAAGCCGGCCUUAAACCUACUGAGCCACAGGUGGCUUUCAGCAGGACCUUCGGCUAGAGGUUGAGAACCACUGCUCUAGAACGCAUCCUCCCAACGUAACAUGAUGUAUCCAUCCGGGUGUUGAUUUUUCUAACGGUCGCCUAAGACUUAGAGGGGCACGUGUGUCUCUUUCCUCCUGUGUCCCAGCACCUGCUGUGACACCUGGCACACGGUGGGCACUCGACCAGAAGUUGUUGAGCGAAUGCAGUCACCCCACCCUUUGUCACACCCGGGACACCAGGUGUGACACCCCUGCGGACGCAGAAGGGGGGCCUGGCCUGGUAUUGCGCAGGCAGGGUGUGGCCGCCCCCCACCCCUCAUCCCUGGAGAGCACCGUGGCCACCAGCACAUGAAACCAGCGACAGCAGCGGGGGACAACUCAGGGACAGACGUCAAACAGCCUUCAUCUUUUACUCCAAAUGUGCUAGAGGAGGGGCGACUCCUUUAGGAAGAGGUGAAGCUGCCACUGUAUGUCCCUGUUGGUGCCCCGCGCCUUCCCGUCUGUGUCCAAGGCACACGUGCACACACACCAUAACCGAUGGAAACUGGUAUUUUCCCCAACACCAUUUCGUGAAGGUGCCAGCCCUGCUCCAUUUGUUGGCUAAGAAGGUUCCCAGACGGCGUGACCCGGACCAAACAGUCGUGGGUUUGCUCCUCCACCGCCCAUUCAGCAGCUGCUUUUUGUUUGUUUGUUUGUUUUUGUUUUCUUUUUUAUGAUAGUCACAGAGAGAGAGAGAGAGAGGCAGAGACACAGGCAGAGGGAGAAGCAGGCUCCGUGCACCGGGAGCCCGACGUGGGAUUCGAUCCCGGGUCUCCAGGAUCGCGCCCUGGACCAAAGGCAGGCGCUAAACCGCUGAGCCACCCAGGGAUCCCUCAGCAGCUGUUUGUUAAGGAUGGAACCUUCCGAGGGCGACCAGCACCUGGCGCCGUGCUGCUAAGGGAGGGGAGUCGGAGACGAACCCCCUGUGGUCGCACCCGCGUGGGGAGUCUGAGAAAACAAGCACAGGGAAGAAGAGUAGGAGAAAGAGAUCGGGAAACAGACUCUUCACUAUAGAGAAGCAGCUGAC